CCUACGGGAGGCAGCAGUGAGGAAUAUUGGUCAAUGGACGAGAGUCUGAACCAGCCAAGUAGCGUGAAGGAUGACUGCCCUAUGGGUUGUAAACUUCUGUUAUAGGGGAAUAAAACGUGCCACGUGGGGGAUUUUGUAUGUACCAUAUGAAUAAGGAUCGGCUAACUCCGUGCCAGCAGCCGCGGUAAUACGGAGGAUCCGAGCGUUAUCCGGAUUUAUUGGGUUUAAAGGGAGCGUAGGGGGAUUGUUAAGUCAGUUGUGACAGUUUGCGGCGCAACCGUAAAAUUGCAGUUGAAACUUGCAGUCUUGCGUCCAGUAGAGGUGGGCGGUCUUCGUUGUGUCGCGGU
This 347-nucleotide ribosomal RNA is filed under the name uncultured bacterium. RNAcentral's name for it is "partial 16S ribosomal RNA". It matches the Rfam family "Bacterial small subunit ribosomal RNA", at positions 338 to 682 of the family's 1533-position model. The record is from RNAcentral.